AAGGCCUGAGGGUUGUAAAGCACUUUUGUUGGGGAGGAGGGACGAUUGGUUAAGAGCUGGUUGUUCGGACGUUACCCAAAGAAUAAGCACCGGCAAACUCCGUGC
Molecule: ribosomal RNA, 105 nt
Filed under: uncultured bacterium
Lineage: Bacteria
Description: partial 16S ribosomal RNA
Source: RNAcentral